Molecule: long non-coding RNA, 292 nt
Filed under: Brassica rapa (field mustard)
Lineage: Eukaryota; Viridiplantae; Streptophyta; Magnoliopsida; Brassicales; Brassicaceae
Description: long non-coding RNA (BRAP_LNC006786)
Source: RNAcentral
UCUAUUCUCUAUAGUUCCCAGAAAACAGAGAACUCCCUCCUUUUAAAAUACUAUCUUUAAGAACAAAAAUAUUGUUCUCUAAGCAUUUCUCCAUCAUGAUUUGAUUAUAACAUACAGGUACUUGACGUGUCUUUCAUUGAUGGUUUACCAACGAAACAAUUGUAAUGGUUCAUGGAAAUAGAGAAAGUGGGGUGAUAAGCCCUUGAGAUCAUAUUUCAGGAAGAGGAAGAGAGGAGCUGAGUUAACAAAAGAUACGGAUAACUUUGGAGAAGUAGAGGCAGCUGAAGAUGAC